Molecule: long non-coding RNA, 1000 nt
Organism: Zonotrichia leucophrys gambelii
Lineage: Eukaryota; Metazoa; Chordata; Aves; Passeriformes; Passerellidae
Exons: 3
Source: RefSeq, a predicted model, not a curated record
ACAGAUCCUCUCCGAGAACAAGCACAACUGAGGCUGCCAAGGGAAACAAACUGGCAGGAGAAAGGGGAACAAACUGGCUUGGGAAGCAACAGGAGAAUGGGGAGAAGUAACUCAGUGAUUGAAACAAGGACACUCUGGGAAAGCUUUGUAGGUGACUGCCAAUUGUCCAAAAGCAGAGUGCUGCUGACUGCAAUUGCAGGAAGAAAAGGUGUCUGUGGCUGGGUGCAAAUAUUCUCUGUACUUUCACAACAGUAGUAUAUGUGGGAAUCCUUGUCUGCUCCAGAAGUCUUAAAGAAGUUUUGGCACCUCUGCCACCCAAGGUAAAUAAUCCCAAGAAAGACACUUGUUUCUCUAGUAUGAUCCUGCUCAGUCUCCUCAAGGAUGUAGCACAGUGCUCGACCCUCAAGGCCAAAGCCAAGCAACAAAGUGAACUUUAACCUUUGAAGAACAGGCAUGUGUGAAAAGAAAAAGCUGUGGAAACGUUUCUUGAAGACACUGGUGUCAUGCCUAAGGUGGUCCAUGCACUUUCACCCAAGAACUCCUGUUGGAAACCAGCAGCUCUAGCAAAGGAAUGUCUCUCUUUAAUGCCAGCAGCUUUGUGUGGUGACAGGACUUUUUAAAAUCUCCCAGCUGACAGGUUAUAUACACACAGUGUGACAACAUGGGGUCCUGCUGAAAUCAUGUUCUUAAGGAAGAUCCUGGUUUGCCCAGCAGGAACAGUGGUGUGCCAGAAAGGAGAUCAGUGUGCUGAGCUGCAGGAGUAUCAGAAGGGGAAGAGUGAGACAUUCCAUCGAAGGAGACUAUUAGGUCCAGUAUUCAAUGUAAUGCCUUGCUUUUAGGAUUUUCUUGACCCUCAAAAGGUGACCCUUUACUGGGUCAAGCAGAAAGAAGCUUUCUCUUGAUGUGAGCUAUGGGAUUAGCUUACACUGAGUUGCUUUUCCAAUUGAAAAUCCUUGAGGAAACUUUUCAUUGUUACUCUGAAUAAAAAAAAUCAAAUGUA